Molecule: ribosomal RNA, 253 nt
Filed under: uncultured bacterium
Lineage: Bacteria
Description: partial 16S ribosomal RNA
Rfam family: Bacterial small subunit ribosomal RNA
Source: RNAcentral
UACAGAGGGUGCGAGCGUUAAUCGGAAUUACUGGGCGUAAAGCGUGCGUAGACGGUUAUUUAAGUCGGAUGUGAAAGCCCCGGGCUCAACCUGGGAAUUGCAUUCGAGACUGAAUAGCUAGGGUGCGGUAGAGGGAAGCGGAAUUUCGGGUGUAGCGGUGAAAUGCGUAGAUAUCGGAAGGAACAUCAGUGGCGAAAGCGGCUUCCUGGACCAGCACCGACGUUCAGGCACGAAAGCGUGGGGAGCAAACAGG